GAUGAACGCUGGCGGCGCGCCUAACACAUGCAAGUCGAACGAUUAAAGCACCUUCGGGUGUGUAUAAAGUGGCGAACGGCUGAGUAACACGUGGGCAACCUGCCCCUUUCAUUGGGAUAGCCACGGGAAACCGUGGAUAAUACCGAAUACUUCGAGACUUCCGCAUGGAAGACUCGAGAAAGCUCCGGCGGAGAGGGAUGGGCCCGCGGCCUGUUAGCUUGUUGGUGGGGUAACGGCCUACCAAGGCAAUGAUGGGUAGCUGGGGUGAGAGACCGACCAGCCAGAGUGGGACUGAGACACGGCCCAGACUCCUACGGGAGGCAGCAGUGGGGAAUCUUGCACAAUGGGCGAAAGCCUGAUGCGGCGACGCCGCGUGCGGGAUGAAGGCCUUCGGGUUGUAAACCGCUUUCAGCAGGGACGAGGCGAAAGUGGCGGUACCUGCAGAAGAAGCCCCGGCUAACUACGUG
This 467-nucleotide ribosomal RNA is filed under the name uncultured bacterium. Its description in RNAcentral is "partial 16S ribosomal RNA". It matches the Rfam family "Bacterial small subunit ribosomal RNA", at positions 28 to 507 of the family's 1533-position model. The record is from RNAcentral.